This is a long non-coding RNA of Carassius auratus (goldfish), 539 nucleotides long. RefSeq lists it as uncharacterized. The record is from RefSeq and is a predicted model, not a curated record. Lineage: Eukaryota; Metazoa; Chordata; Actinopteri; Cypriniformes; Cyprinidae. The transcript is spliced from 2 exons.
AUCAUCACAGAGACGUAAAUUACGUGCUGUUAGUUGAACGUCUCUCGUAGCGGCUGGACUGAUAACUAACCAAAUAUUUUUGCUCUCUUUUACCACAAAGACUCUUAAGAAGGGAACAUCAGGCCAAUCUGCUGCUGUCCAGAAUCAGGUGGUUUGUCUUCGUCUGGCAUCUCAGCUGAGACCUGUCCACUAUGGGAGACCCUACCAGUAGUUGUGAAGUACCAGUGGCGUAGCUCUCAGCAUCACUGAUGCACACAAGCCCUCACAGCACGUCAAGCUGCAAACCAUGUGAGGGACCCUAACCUACUCUAACCCAACUGUUCAAAUCAACUGCAAAUCAACUAACCACUCAUAACUAACAACCACGCAUAACACAUAACUAACAGCCACGUAGCGAAGCACAAAAAACACUUGGAGGAGGCCAGCAACCGCAAAACAACAUCCUAACAACCGCACAGAGAACCUUGACAGAACCAUGUGAAUGCAUAAAAAACACUCAAAACAUCAUGAAAACCAUAUAGCAAAGUGCAAAAAAAAAA